CGCAUUUCUUGUAUCACAGCUGUCAUGAAUUUAAAUUCCCUCUUGGAUCCUUACCACAGUAUAUUUCACUGCAAUAUUUUGCUUCUUUGAUAAGCACCAAGUAGUGAAGUACGAGAUGCUGAAUAUUUGAGAUGUAAAUCUGACAGGAGGCAUUUGUUUUUAGUGUUAGGAUGGAGUCAGAAACAACUGCAGAAAGAUGAACCCCUCAGAUAGCAUAAUAACCACUACAGGUGUUUGCAUAGAGCCAGAAUGAAGCUCAAGAUGUUUUUGAGCUUAGAAAAUGGCCACUUGUAUACAUGAAUCUUUACAUGACUGCUUACUUGUGGUUCCAGCUAUGAAAAUCAUCUGGAAAAACUGUAAGAAGAUUAUUUUCUGCAAAUCCCCUGACAGAAGCCAAGAAGCCUUGAAAACAUACAAAAGCAUCAGUUUACAUCAGCUUCCCACCUACAACCUGGGUAGAUAAUUCAUUAAAAAACAAGAAAUAUGAAGAGUGUGCAGUUCCACUACAGAAAUUUUAAUGACUACAGGAACAAGCAUCUUCGUUUCGCCUUUCCCUCAGACAGAGCUGGUGACCACGGAGGAUCUGAGCAGCAUGAGCUACAUAGAUGGUGCAAAAGUGCCUGGCCUGGCACCGGGGAGUGCAGUGAUCUCAGUCCAGCAGAUCUCUGGGCAGAUAUAUUCAGGACUUGGACAUUUUGGGUCUGCCCAAGUUCGUCUCACACAUCUGGGAUUCUCCUUGCAAAUCUGUUUCUGUGAAGAUCCCCAUAACUAUCAGAAAACAUGUAAGAGUGUGAAACUCUUUCCACCAUCAGCUUCACCAUUCUUCGUCCAUGCGAGAGUGGGACAAAUAUUCCUUACUUCCAUCUCCCGUAUGCUAGAGUCUUUCAUACUACAGGAUGAGUCCAGGGAGAAAUGAAAAGGCUUACACCGGCAGCUAUAUUUUGGCUUGGGAAAAUGUCACAUCCACUUUACAGGGUUCCUGCAGUGAGUGCUGGUGUCAUAGAAUCAUAGAAUGAUUUGGGUUGGAAAAGACCUUUAAGAUCAUCCAAUUCCAACCCCCCUGCUAUAGGCAGGGACACCUCCCACUAGACCAGAUUACUCACAGCCCCAUCCAACCUGGCCUUGAAUGCCUCCAGGGAGGGGUCAUCCACAACCUCACUAGGCAACCUGUUCCAGUGUCUCACCACCUUCACAGGAAAUAAUUUCUUCCUAAUAUCAAGUCUAAAUCUACCCUCUUCCAGUUUAAAGCCAUUUCCCUCAUCCUGUCGCUACAUGCCCUUAUAAAAAGUCCCUCCUCAGCUUUCCUGUAGGCCCCCUUCAGGUACUGGAAGGCCGCUAUAAGGUCUCAUUGGAGCCUUCUCUUCUCCAGGCUCAAGAGCCCCAGCUCUCUCAGCCUGUCCCCAAAGGGAGGUUCUCCAGCCCUCUGAUCAUCUUCAUGGCCCUCCUCUAGACCUGCUCCAACAGCUCAAAUUCAUUUAUUCAUGUCAUUUCUUCAUGCUUACUUCCUGAUACACAGUGUGGCAAGAGGAAAAUAUGACUGAAGAGGUCUCUCGAGAAUGAUUCUCAUAAAUGGCCUCCCUUUGUUCUACUGUUCUUUCUUUCUUAAUUAAUCUAAUCCAUGCAGGCUGGCAACAAAGACAUUAAAAAACUAGUGAAGAAUGUAAUAUAAGAUAAAGCUUUUAUCAAAGCAUUUUUUAAGAAGUGUUUCUUAGCUAUGAUUAUCUGGAGGCUGUUUUUCUUCCCCUCUCCUUUUCCUCAUACGUUGUAGCUCUCCUUAGGAAGCCCUUCUUUAGAGGUUUCUUCCCAUCACUUCAGGGCAAGGUCCAAAUAGAUUUUGUCUUUUGAUUGAAGAAAUUCUAUGCUUCUCUUAUAUUCAGAUCUCUGGGCUAACCAGCAGUCCGAUGCAAAUCUAAUCCACUUCACCAAUUACUUCUUUUAAUUCAUCAGAAUUUGCCUUUCUGAAAUAAUGGUAAUUCAUUUAGAAAGAUACUUGGAGAAUUUUGUAAUCUGCCCGCAGAGACUGAUCAGACAUAAUGUAAUCAAGAACAACAUUACAGGUUAGCAUAACAAUAAUAUUACUUCUGUCUGGGGGCAGUGUACGUCUACAAGUCAUACACAGUCUAAGACCGAGCUGAAGUUGUACUCAUCCUGUUACUACUAAAAUAUCUGACAGCAUUUCUAACAGUACAGAAAUCUCUGUUCAUUUCUAAGUACCCACCAGAGACCUGUAGCACAAUCCUCUUAAAAAUACUUCAGCUGUCCUUCUCUAAACUAGACUUACACCACUUUUUUUCCCAUAUUUUUUCUACAGAAUUUGCAGUCACUUUUCUUACGUUACUACUGUACUCCCUCAUGGCAUUUUUCUUUACUUCUACCAUUCCUCAGAACUGCAUUCUAUUCAAGGUAUAUGUUACAAUUUGUAUUACAAGUGGGACAUGUUCCUAUCAUCUUAACACUGUCUGGUUUCGUAUCCUACAUUUUCAGGUCUUCCUGUUAGAUUCUGGAGCAGUUCUUUGGUGUUCUGCCCGCCAGCACUGUCUUCUAGAUUAAUUUAGGCUACAGAGUCCCUGUUUCUUUUCACAAGUUGUUUUCAGGCCUGCUUCCUCAAGGCGCUGCAUUUCACAGGUUCUCUCUACUCUGUUCCUCCUGAUUUCUGCCCACGGGUCACACUGACUUUAGUUUUCAACAUAACUAGGCACGUGAGUAGCUAGUUUUCCUAUAUGAUGUCCAUAUGAGCAUGUGUAGUUGAUGAGGGUGGGAUUUCACAGCCACAUUCCCAAUGAGUUGCCUGUAUAUGCUCUAGUCUUGCGAACUCCUGUUGUAGCCAGUGUUAAUUAUUAAGUCAGAGUAACCGGUAGAGCCUAAGGAAUGUCUGAUGGAAGACAAGAUGUUUUCCAUAAGCUUUCAUUUAUUUGCUUACUUAUUUUCUCAGUACUGAAAUCAGUGAUUGGAGGUUUAUGUUAAUUGGCAAUAAAUUAAACAGAUUGGAAUUCCCUCA
This is a long non-coding RNA of Numida meleagris (helmeted guineafowl), 2998 nucleotides long. The record is from Ensembl. NCBI's taxonomy places the organism in Eukaryota, Metazoa, Chordata, Aves, Galliformes, Numididae.